AGAAUCAACGCUGGCGGCGUGCCUAACACAUGCAAGUCGAACGAGAAAGUGGAGCAAUCCAUGAGUAAAGUGGCGACCGGGUGAGUAACACGUGACUAACCUACCUUCGAGUGGGGGAUAACCUCGGGAAACCGAGGCUAAUACCGCAUAACAUCGCAAGAUCAAAGCAGCAAUGCGCUUGGGGAGGAGGUCGCGGCCGAUUAGCUAGUUGGCGGGGUAAUGGCCCACCAAGGCGAUGAUCGGUA
Molecule: ribosomal RNA, 245 nt
Filed under: uncultured bacterium
Lineage: Bacteria
Description: partial small subunit ribosomal RNA
Rfam family: Bacterial small subunit ribosomal RNA
Source: RNAcentral